RNAcentral lists this small RNA (27 nucleotides) under Bombyx mori (domestic silkworm). Its description in RNAcentral is "ovarian small RNA-22691". The record is from RNAcentral. Lineage: Eukaryota; Metazoa; Arthropoda; Insecta; Lepidoptera; Bombycidae.
UAGGAUUUCUCUUUAACGAAGUCCUGC